UACAGAGGGGGCAAGCGUUGUUCGGAAUUACUGGGCGUAAAGGGCGCGUAGGCGGCCUUCUAAGUCGAACGUGAAAUCCCCGGGCUCAACCCGGGAACUGCGUCCGAUACUGGAAGGCUUGAAUCCGGGAGAGGGAUGCGGAAUUCCAGGUGUAGCGGUGAAAUGCGUAGAUAUCUGGAGGAACACCGGUGGCGAAGGCGGCAUCCUGGACCGGUAUUGACGCUGGGGCGCGAAAGCCAGGGGAGCAAACGGG
This 253-nucleotide ribosomal RNA is filed under the name uncultured bacterium. RNAcentral's name for it is "partial 16S ribosomal RNA". It matches the Rfam family "Bacterial small subunit ribosomal RNA", at positions 524 to 776 of the family's 1533-position model. The record is from RNAcentral.